Long non-coding RNA from Cryptotermes secundus, 657 nucleotides. RefSeq lists it as uncharacterized. The transcript has 2 exons. NCBI's taxonomy places the organism in Eukaryota, Metazoa, Arthropoda, Insecta, Blattodea, Kalotermitidae. The record is from RefSeq and is a predicted model, not a curated record.
CAUUUGCAUCCUGUUCAUUUACACAGUACCAACACCGAGGGACAAUUUUAGUGAAAUGGCGUUCACCAUGAAGACACUAGCGCCCUCAGUGCUGCUCCUUUCUAUUCUGCUGGCAAUCUCUUUCAGGAUUAACGCCGAGGCGCCUGAGCCGCAGUGCACGAAGGAAUCCGACAGGGGCAAUAUCUGCGUGAAGGAAUGCGCAGACGCAGAAGAAUGUCGCUGUAUCACUCCGCCAGAUAUCGAAUGCGUCAUAACCCCCUGCCUAUUCGCAACCUGCGUGGCAACGCCAGAAUGAUGUGUACGGCAUUUAUUUCACAGUCCGGUGUACAUGAUUUUAAAGCAAACUCAUCACCAAACAAAACAUUUAUUUUAGUUUCACUGGACAUGAAAACUAUAGAUUAAAAAUCACGUUUUUUGUUUAGGCGCUCUUAAAAGUUGUGUAAGAUGGAAACAAUGAGGAAAUGUUUCAGCAUGUUUUGAUUUGCUCAAAUACGAGCUCAAGAAUUAUGCUCCUGGCCCACGUAAAUGUCGACACAGUUCUACAAUACUUUAGAACCUGCCUACAUCCAUCGCACGCACAAACUUCGAGUGAUUCAUCUGCAUUAUUCAAUUGUUAAGGAAAAUAAACCUAAAAGGAACAGCAUUUAUCUCUAAACA